RNAcentral lists this ribosomal RNA (260 nucleotides) under uncultured actinomycete. RNAcentral's name for it is "partial 16S ribosomal RNA". It matches the Rfam family "Bacterial small subunit ribosomal RNA", at positions 223 to 495 of the family's 1533-position model. Lineage: Bacteria; Bacillati; Actinomycetota; Actinomycetes; Actinomycetales. The record is from RNAcentral.
GGAUGGACUCGCGGCCUAUCAGCUUGUUGGUGAGGUAAUGGCUUACCAAGGCGACGACGGGUAGCCGGCCUGAGAGGGUGACCGGCCACACUGGGACUGAGACACGGCCCAAACUCCUACGGGAGGCAGCAGUGGGGAAUAUUGCACAAUGGGCGCAAGCCUGAUGCAGCGACGCCGCGUGAGGGAUGACGGCCUUCGGGUUGUAAACCUCUUUCAGUAGGGAAGAAGCGAAAGUGACGGUACCUGCAGAAGAAGCGCCG